UCGGAUACUAUGAGCUCAUUUUUUAUUCGUCCAGAACUUUAUUCAUGAAUAUCAUCAGCAAGGAUAAAAAAACACACAAUCCUCAAUUCUUGUUCACACUAACCAAAUGGUGUAUAUAAGGGAUUCAUCACCUCAAACAAUAAAAAACAUUCUCAUUGUACUGCAAACAUGACCAAUUAAGCAUAUAAUUAAUAUCAACAGAAACUAAAUCAAAAAUCCCUCCAAUAAAAAGGAUGCUUAAACUUAUCGUCCUCCUAUCUCGAGGCACCUAAUUUUUUUGCCACAGCAUAAGAAAAAGAAUAAAAGGAAAAUCAAACCAAGCAGAACCUACAACGUUCAAAUGCCAUCCAUCGCCAACUGCAUAAAAAGUCUGGCUUCCAACGACCUAACGGGGAAACAUAUAACAUACUCAACUUACAAAUCCAUUCAUUAACUAGAUAUACCUAUUAAAAACCCAAAGCAUCAAAUAUCCAACAAGUCAACCAAGCUUGACGGAAAUAUGGCACAGGACUGGGAGCAUUAAGAGCUUCAUGACCCAUUUUAGAAGCACUUCCGGUGAACUAUAGCUGGCCCAGAUUCAUCAUAUUCACCCUUGGAGAUCCAC
RNAcentral lists this long non-coding RNA (604 nucleotides) under Vigna radiata. RNAcentral describes it as "long non-coding RNA (VRAD_LNC010761)". The record is from RNAcentral. Lineage: Eukaryota; Viridiplantae; Streptophyta; Magnoliopsida; Fabales; Fabaceae.